This 1018-nucleotide ribosomal RNA is filed under the name uncultured bacterium. RNAcentral describes it as "bacterial SSU rRNA". It matches the Rfam family "Bacterial small subunit ribosomal RNA", at positions 357 to 1376 of the family's 1533-position model. The record is from RNAcentral.
AGGAAUAUUGGUCAAUGGGCGAUGGCCUGAACCAGCCAAGUAGCGUGAAGGAUGACUGCCCUAUGGGUUGUAAACUUCUUUUAUAAAGGAAUAAAGUCGGGUAUGCAUACCCGUUUGCAUGUACUUUAUGAAUAAGGAUCGGCUAACUCCGUGCCAGCAGCCGCGGUAAUACGGAGGAUCCGAGCGUUAUCCGGAUUUAUUGGGUUUAAAGGGAGCGUAGGUGGACAGUUAAGUCAGUUGUGAAAGUUUGCGGCUCAACCGUAAAAUUGCAGUUGAUACUGGCUGUCUUGAGUACAGUAGAGGUGGGCGGAAUUCGUGGUGUAGCGGUGAAAUGCUUAGAUAUCACGAAGAACUCCGAUUGCGAAGGCAGCUCACUGGACUGCAACUGACACUGAUGCUCGAAAGUGUGGGUAUCAAACAGGAUUAGAUACCCUGGUAGUCCACACAGUAAACGAUGAAUACUCGCUGUUUGCGAUAUACAGUAAGCGGCCAAGCGAAAGCAUUAAGUAUUCCACCUGGGGAGUACGCCGGCAACGGUGAAACUCAAAGGAAUUGACGGGGGCCCGCACAAGCGGAGGAACAUGUGGUUUAAUUCGAUGAUACGCGAGGAACCUUACCCGGGCUUAAAUUGCACUCGAAUGAUCCGGAAACGGUUCAGCUAGCAAUAGCGAGUGUGAAGGUGCUGCAUGGUUGUCGUCAGCUCGUGCCGUGAGGUGUCGGCUUAAGUGCCAUAACGAGCGCAACCCUUGUUGUCAGUUACUAACAGGUGAUGCUGAGGACUCUGACAAGACUGCCAUCGUAAGAUGUGAGGAAGGUGGGGAUGACGUCAAAUCAGCACGGCCCUUACGUCCGGGGCUACACACGUGUUACAAUGGGGGGUACAGAGGGCCGCUACCACGCGAGUGGAUGCCAAUCCCUAAAACCCCUCUCAGUUCGGACUGGAGUCUGCAACCCGACUCCACGAAGCUGGAUUCGCUAGUAAUCGCGCAUCAGCCACGGCGUGGUGAAUACGUUCCCG